This 74-nucleotide transfer RNA is filed under the name Halichoeres melanurus (tail-spot wrasse). RNAcentral's name for it is "tRNA-Leu". It matches the Rfam family "tRNA". Rfam says of the family: Transfer RNA (tRNA) molecules are approximately 80 nucleotides in length. Lineage: Eukaryota; Metazoa; Chordata; Actinopteri; Labriformes; Labridae. The record is from RNAcentral.
GUUAUGGUGGCAGAGCACGGCAAUUGCGAAAGGUUUAAACCCUUUAAACAGAGGUUCAAAUCCUCUCCUUAACA